AACGAACGCUGGCGGCAUGCCUAACACAUGCAAGUCGGACGAGCCUUCCUGGUUUUUUGGCGCACGGGUGCGUAACGCGACGGAACCUGCUCUUGGGUUCGGCAUAACCUCCCGACCUGGGUACCCAUUUCGGAUAAUGUCUUAGACCCAAUGAUUUAUCUCCUUUGGAUGGGCCCGCGUGGGAUUAGCUAGUUGGUAGGGUAAAUGCAUACGAAGUCGACGAUCCAGAGCUGGUCUGAGAGGAGGAUCAGCCACACUGGGACUGGGACACGGACCAGACUCCUACGGGAGGCAGCAGUGGGGAAUAUGGGACAAUGGGGGAAAGUCUGAGCCAGAAAUGCCGGGUGAGUGAUGAAGGGCUUAGGGUUGUAAAGCUCUUUUACCCGGGAUGAUAAUGACAGUACCGGGAGAAUAAGCGCCGGCUAACUCCGUG
RNAcentral lists this ribosomal RNA (433 nucleotides) under uncultured bacterium. Its description in RNAcentral is "partial 16S ribosomal RNA". It matches the Rfam family "Bacterial small subunit ribosomal RNA", at positions 29 to 507 of the family's 1533-position model. The record is from RNAcentral.